RNAcentral lists this ribosomal RNA (463 nucleotides) under uncultured bacterium. RNAcentral's name for it is "partial 16S ribosomal RNA". It matches the Rfam family "Bacterial small subunit ribosomal RNA", at positions 28 to 507 of the family's 1533-position model. The record is from RNAcentral.
GACGAACGCUGGCGGCGUGCUUAACACAUGCAAGUCGAACGGUGAACCUCUUCGGAGGGGAUCAGUGGCGAACGGGUGAGUAACACGUGGGCAACCUGCCCCCGGCUCUGGGAUAACUCCAAGAAAUUGGGGCUAAUACCGGAUGUUCACCGCUUCCCGCAUGGGGGGUGGUGGAAAGGGGUUCCGGCUGGGGCUGGGCCCGCGGCCUAUCAGCUGGUUGGUGGGGUAGUGGCCUACCAAGGCGACGACGGGUAGCCGGCCUGAGAGGGUGACCGGCCACCCUGGGACUGAGACACGGCCCAGACUCCUACGGGCGGCAGCAGUGGGGAAUAUUGCGCAAUGGGCGGAAGCCUGACGCAGCGACGCCGCGUGGGGGAUGACGGCCUUCGGGUUGUAAACCUCUUUCAGCAGGGACGAAGCGCAAGUGACGGUACCUGCAGAAGAAGCACCGGCCAACUACGUG